Molecule: ribosomal RNA, 252 nt
Filed under: uncultured bacterium
Lineage: Bacteria
Description: partial 16S ribosomal RNA
Rfam family: Bacterial small subunit ribosomal RNA
Source: RNAcentral
GCAAGUCGAGCGGUAGCACAGAGAAGCUUGCUUCUUGGGUGACGAGCGGCGGACGGGUGAGUAACGCGUAGGAAUCUACCUGGUAGUGGGGGAUAGCCCAGAGAAAUUUGGAUUAAUACCGCAUACGCCCUACGGGGGAAAGGAGGGGAUCUUCGGACCUUUCGCUAUCAGAUGAGCCUGCGUGAGAUUAGCUUGUUGGUGAGGUAAAGGCUCACCAAGGCGACAAUCUCUAGCUGGUCUGAGAGGAUGAUC